Molecule: small nuclear RNA, 108 nt
Filed under: Castor canadensis (American beaver)
Lineage: Eukaryota; Metazoa; Chordata; Mammalia; Rodentia; Castoridae
Source: RNAcentral
GUGCUUCCUUUUGCAGCACACAUACUAAAACUGGAACAAUUUUAGAGAAAAUCAGCAUGGCCCCUGUGCAGGGAUGAUAUGCAAAUUUGUGAAGUGUUCCAUUAAAAA